CCUACGGGAGGCAGCAGUGGGGAAUAUUGGGCAAUGGGCGCAAGCCUGACCCAGCAACGCCGCGUGAAGGAAGAAGGCUUUCGGGUUGUAAACUUCUUUUCUCAGGGACGAAGCAAGUGACGGUACCUCAGGAAUAAGCCACUGCUAACUACGGGCCAGCCGCCGCGGUAAUACGUAGGUGGCACGCGUUAUCCGGAGUUACUGGGUGUAAAGGGCGUGUAGGCGGGAAAGCAAGUCAGAUGUGAAAGCCAUGGGCUAAACCUGUGGCCUGCAGUUGAAACUGUUGUUCUUGAGUGCUGGUGAGGAAGACGGAAUGCCUGGUGUAGCGGUGAAAUGCGUAGAUAUUAGGAGGAACACCAGUGGCGAAGGCG
This 371-nucleotide ribosomal RNA is filed under the name uncultured bacterium. Its description in RNAcentral is "partial 16S ribosomal RNA". It matches the Rfam family "Bacterial small subunit ribosomal RNA", at positions 338 to 723 of the family's 1533-position model. The record is from RNAcentral.